RNAcentral lists this ribosomal RNA (481 nucleotides) under uncultured bacterium. Its description in RNAcentral is "partial 16S ribosomal RNA". It matches the Rfam family "Bacterial small subunit ribosomal RNA", at positions 30 to 507 of the family's 1533-position model. The record is from RNAcentral.
AUUGAACGCUGGCGGCAUGCCUUACACAUGCAAAUCGAACGGUAACGGGCCUUCGGGUGCCGACGAGUGGCGAACGGGUGAGUAAUACAUCGGAACGUGCCCGAUCGUGGGGGAUAACGAGGCGAAAGCUUUGCUAAUACCGCAUACGAUCUACGGAUGAAAGCAGGGGACCGCAAGGCCUUGCGCGGACGGAGCGGCCGAUGGCAGAUUAGGUAGUUGGUGGGAUAAAAGCUUACCAAGCCGACGAUCUGUAGCUGGUCUGAGAGGAUGAUCAGCCACACUGGGACUGAGACACGGCCCAGACUCCUACGGGAGGCAGCAGUGGGGAAUUUUGGACAAUGGGCGCAAGCCUGAUCCAGCCAUGCCGCGUGCAGGAUGAAGGCCUUCGGGUUGUAAACUGAUUUGUACGGAACGAAAAGCCUUCUUUUAAUACAGGAGGGUCAUGACGGUACCGUAAGAAUAAGCACCGGCUAACUACGUG